AUGCACGUCUCAGAUGAAACGGUGCCUACAAAGUCGGUCUGCGAAUGGCUCAUUAAACCAGCUAUGAUCUCAGCAGUGAAUACCAAUGUGCAGAGUAGCCCGGACAAGUUCACUUGGAAGGGCGGACAUGGUGUACUCGGAUACCCUUUCUGAAACAGAAGGCUAAUACGUGUGGUCGAAUGGCGAUUCCGCCCUAUCCUUUAUUAUUAAGUGAUGGGGUGCGGAGGGCUGACUCAAAGAGUAGCCGCUCUUUUCAAGAGCUCUAGCGAGGAAAUGGUUGACUCAAGCCUUCACUGUUUCAAAGAGAGGUGUGGUCCACAGCAGUUGCAAUCGCGGCUGUUGCGUACAUCCAUACGUCCAUGUGCAGCGGUAGCAGUCUCUGGACUGCUUCAUUGUUCGAGUUUCUGACCCAUCAGCCGUUCAUCGUGGUGGAGGGGACCACGAUGGCGAUCACGGGUAACGGGGAAUUGGGGUUCGAUUCCGGAGAGGGAGCCUGAAAAACGGCUACCACGGCCAAGGUUGGCAGCAGGCACGAAAAUUGCCCUAUACCGAUGUGCAUGGUGAGGCAGCGACGAGAAAUGUUACCUGUUCUAGUCUUACGACUGGGACUGGUGGAAUGGAUGAGGACCUAAGUAAUGCAGUGAGUAUCAACUCGAGGGCCAGUCUGGUGCCAGCAGCCGCGGUAAUUCCAGCUCGAGUGGCCUACUUUGACGUUGUUGCUGUUAAAAAGCUCGUAGUUGGUUGGCAUCCGAGUCGCUCUGUUUCUAAUCCUUACCUCGGUAAGGGGUGAAACAACCGAGUGGCUUGAUGUGCCUCUAUGUCGGUUCGGAAUGUCAAAUGGCCUUCAACUGGGGUUUUCCUCUCCUUCCUCGGAAGUUGAGAAUCUCUCUCGGUUGUUGGUUGAUAGUUGCUUCCUUGAACCUGAUGUAGUUUCUGCAGCGGAAAUGAUUCCCCGUCCAGGAAUCGAUGGUGAUCUCAGCCUUCUCCGAGUUUUGUUCCUCUCGAGGUUCAUUACAAGGGGACUGAGGUAUAGCAACGUUUCUAUCCGGUCUACAUCUGCAAAAGGAGUGAGCUUGCUCACCUGAUCAGCUUCUCUCAAGGAACCGAUUGGCUAUGCGCGGAGGAUUGAUGGUGAGUUGUCCUCUUGUGAAAAAAAGAGCGGGCUCUCCCUCGGGAGGGACUCACCCUUCUCUUCACUACCAACUUUGAGRAUCUUCCUGUCUUUCCAAUCUGCGGCGUUAAAAGGGGACGCCCGCUGAAUGUUACCGUGAAUAAAGCAAAGCGUUAAAUGCAGUUGACUUCUUGUCGAUCGCAUGUCUCAGUGUGGCAUAACAAGGGANCGUUCCUAUGGAACUCGAUGUUCUGGUACUCUUUACGAGUCCACUAUUGGAGGAAUUUCGGCUCUCUCUGGUGAAGCUUGAUGAACUAUCUCGAUAGUCUUGUUGAGUGGAUCCGAGGAGUUGAAGUGCUGACGGAGGUCGUUAUUGUGCCCAGGGUACUGAGAGGCGAGCGGUGAAAUGCUUGGACCCUCUUCAGGACCACCAGAAGCGAAAGCGCUGGGCGGAUCUCGACCUGCCAAUCAAGAACGAGAGUAUGGGGAUCGAAGAGGAUCAGAUACCCUUGUAGUCCAUGCUGUAAACGAUGCCAACUGAGGGUCGAGGUUGUGUCUUCGGAAUCUCUGCCUCGCCCAACCUCCCAUAACGAGAAANCCAAGUGUAUGGGNUCAGGGGGAGUACUGNNGCAAGGNUGAAACUUAAAGGAAUUGACGGAGUGGUACCACAAGGCGUGGAAUGUGCNNNNNAAUUUGACUCAACGCGGGGAACGUUACCAGAUCAGCACGUGAAGAGGACAAGACAGGUUGAAGCACUUUCUCGAUAACUCGAAAAGUGGUGCAUGGCCGUUCCUGGUUGGUGGAGUGAUUUGUCUGGUUGAUUCCGAUAACGAGCGAGGUCUUCACCUCUCAAUAGCCUGUGUCCUCGCCCAUGUAGGGUGCCUGCAGCUGUCUUCCCUUCGUUCUUUCCUAUCCUCGGGUAGGGAGGAGUGUUGGGUUAGGCAGUGUUGCGACCUGAGAGUGACACGCCAACUUCCAAGCUUCUCAGUGGGGUCGGACACUUUGUCUUCGACUAAGUGCCCAUAUCCGGAAGCCGACAGCAGGUCUGUGAUGCCCUUAGAUGCUCUGGGCUGCACGCGCAUUACACUGACGUGGGGAAUCAGUGUCUUUCUAGGACCCUUCUGAACUUGGGCCUCAAAACCCAAGGGAAGGGGGGUCUGGCUUGAACUCCUGUUCCGAGGCUGGAGUGGGGAACCUCCAAGUCUACGUCGUGAUGGGGAUCGGUGCUUGAAACUGUUUGCCUUAAACGAGGAAUGCCUAGUAAGUGCAAGUCAACAGCUUGCACUGACUUCGUCCCUGCCACUUGUACACACCGCCCGUCGUUGCUACCGAUGGUGUUGAGAUAGAGGUCUAAGGAGACUAGUAGCUUGUAGAGAACCUCGGUCCUCUACCUGUGAACGCCGAAUUCGACCAAUAUCUUACUGUUGGAGGAAGCAAAAGUCGUAACAAGGUAGCUGUA
This 2570-nucleotide ribosomal RNA is filed under the name Astasia curvata. Its description in RNAcentral is "partial 18S ribosomal RNA". It matches the Rfam family "Eukaryotic small subunit ribosomal RNA". The record is from RNAcentral. Lineage: Eukaryota; Euglenozoa; Anisonemea; Natomonadida; Astasiidae.